GUGGGGAAUUUUGGACAAUGGGCGCAAGCCUGAUCCAGCGACGCCGCGUGGAGGACGAAGGCCUUCGGGUUGUAAACUCCUUUUGGAGGGGAAGAAUAAAUUGACGGUACCCUCAGAAAAAGCCACGGCUAACUACGUGCCAGCAGCCGCGGUAAUACGUAGGUGGCGAGCGUUACUCGGAAUUACUAGGCGUAAAGCGUAUGUAGGUGGUUAGAUAAGUCUAUGGUGAAAUUUCCUGGCUUAACUGGGAAGGGACAUAGAUACUAUCUGGCUUGAGUGUGCGAGGGGGAGACGGAAUUCCUGGUGUAGCUGUGAAAUGCGUAGAUAUCAGGAGUAACACCGAUGGCGAAAGCAGUCUCCUGGCCCAAUACUGACACUGAGGUACGAAAGCUAGGGUAGCAAACAGGAUUAGAUACCCUGGUAGUCC
RNAcentral lists this ribosomal RNA (427 nucleotides) under uncultured bacterium. Its description in RNAcentral is "partial 16S ribosomal RNA". It matches the Rfam family "Bacterial small subunit ribosomal RNA", at positions 354 to 796 of the family's 1533-position model. The record is from RNAcentral.